RNAcentral lists this ribosomal RNA (471 nucleotides) under uncultured bacterium. RNAcentral's name for it is "partial 16S ribosomal RNA". It matches the Rfam family "Bacterial small subunit ribosomal RNA", at positions 28 to 506 of the family's 1533-position model. The record is from RNAcentral.
GACGAACGCUGGCGGCGUGCUUAACACAUGCCAGUCGAACGAUGAACCCGGAGCUUGCUCUGGGGGAUUAGUGGCGAACGGGUGAGUAACACGUGAGUAACCUGCCCUGGACUCUGGGAUAAGCGUUGGAAACGACGUCUAAUACCGGAUAGGACCUUGGAUCGCAUGAUCUGGGGUGGAAAGUUUUUUCGGUCUGGGAUGGACUCGCGGCCUAUCAGCUUGUUGGUGAGGUAAUGGCUCACCAAGGCGUCGACGGGUAGCCGGCCUGAGAGGGUGACCGGCCACACUGGGACUGAGACACGGCCCAGACUCCUACGGGAGGCAGCAGUGGGGAAUAUUGCACAAUGGGCGAAAGCCUGAUGCAGCAACGCCGCGUGCGGGAUGACGGCCUUCGGGUUGUAAACCGCUUUUAGUAGGGAAGAAGGGCUUCGGCUUGACGGUACCUGCAGAAAAAGGACCGGCUAACUACGU